Long non-coding RNA from Lytechinus pictus (painted urchin), 1557 nucleotides. RefSeq lists it as uncharacterized. NCBI's taxonomy places the organism in Eukaryota, Metazoa, Echinodermata, Echinoidea, Temnopleuroida, Toxopneustidae. The record is from RefSeq and is a predicted model, not a curated record. The transcript has 3 exons.
UAUCUUCAAAUUAAUAAUUAACACCAUAACAAAGGUCCAUAAAUCAGAUAUCAAAUUCAUGAAACACAUCUCAUGUAUGUAAACCUAUUUCUAAAUUAAAUUCAUGCAAGGAGCUUUCUGUGCCAUUCAAAAAUACGACUUUCAUUAACAAUACCAUAUUCUAGACAUUCAGACGCAUUCCAACAAAAAAUCACAUAUCAAACAAAAUUCUUGAAGUUUACUUGCAGUUUUGCUCUUAAUACUUAUUUCACACGAAUUCUACAAAAUUAUUUUCAAAAUAACAAUUUGAUUUUCAUAAUUAACAGAGCUCAAAUCGUAAUUAAAAAAAAUAUACAACGGCUGAAACAUACUGUGUCUGAAUACCAAGACUAAUCUCAGGCCCAACGCAGUGGGGAUGACGUCACUCACAGCUGUUCGUAUACGCUCAAAACAACCCUGCUCGAUCGGCCGAGUCAGAUUCACAAACACCUCAUGACACUCAAAACUGAAGCUCAUAUUCGCAAACUCUCUACGGACCAAAUUUGAUUAGAAUUUCACAAAAUGUUCUCAAAUAUACAAUUUUAUUACUGACCGAGUUUACAAGGGAUCCGAUGAUUACAAGAAGGUGAUUUCAAGCAAAGAAAAAUAAAUACCUGAAUAUUAGGUCCUUCCCUCGCAUGAAGAUCCAAUGGGACCAAGUUCUUAGCAGUUCACACCUAGUCAGAAGUACAAAAUUGAGAACCAUGCCGAUCAGCAAGUGUUAGUUACAAUCUAAUGAGGAACAGGAUAUCUGAAUGGGAAAAUUGCAAGGUUUCCCACUUCCUAAGCUGUUUAAGUACUGGUAUCACAACAUAAGUGCCAAGAAGAGAAUUGAAACGGUCUCAAAAUUUUUGCUGGUGCCCCCCCCCCCCCCGAUGCCGUGACCCACGGUACGCCACUGCAAGUCUUCAUAAAUUAUGUAGGGUUAUUAAGUUGCAUUUAUUGUUAUCUUCAUUUAAAAAAAAUGUGAAAUGGGCUACCACUGCAAUAAUAUAUAAAUAGACUAUAUUUCAAACAUAGAUUGAAUUCUAACCACAGUGACAGUAGACAAAUCAAAUUUUGUUAAUGAUUCGCUAAUGUAUUGAUUGGGGAAGGCACUCUUUAGGAUUCUGGCAUUGUGUCCCACCCCCCCCCCCCCUUAUGAGGAGUGCUCUCACAUCAGUAGACUAUUUCUUGUCAGCAAAUUUGAAAGGAAUUCACCCAUUUUUUUGAGUGACAAACUUUUGUGGAAGAAAAUAAACGAAUAUCAAAGGUUUUUAUGCUCUUUUAUGGAAUAUUAACUAUAGGCUCAUCGAGAUCCUUUGAAUGAAAUUUUAACAAACAUUGUACAAUGUAGAAAAAUGUACUUAAUCCUAUUUUUGUACAUUUAUAUACCCACCCCAGGCUACCCUUACCCAGUAACAGCCCUUUUUAGCUAUGCAUUGCCUUCAUUUUUUUAAAUACAAUUUAAUGCUUGGUAGAUGCUAAUUAUUAUUUUUAUGUUAAUGUCAAUGUUUUAGAAAAUGGAUUCCUUAAUAAACAUGUUAAUUUUGAAUUGAA